Molecule: long non-coding RNA, 1422 nt
Organism: Anguilla rostrata (American eel)
Lineage: Eukaryota; Metazoa; Chordata; Actinopteri; Anguilliformes; Anguillidae
Exons: 3
Source: RefSeq, a predicted model, not a curated record
GCUGGAGUGAAGAAUGUACCAUGCCCACAAAAGGGGGGUGGUCAUUCAGGCCCAAGGAACAACCAUAAAGAUGAUUUAAAACCGGACAUAUCCAAGAGGACUGUAAAAAAGGAAACACGGUCUCCAAGGAGACCUGAUUCAUUUAAUAGGGAGAAAUCGAAGGGGUGAACACUUCUCUUAAUGCCCUCCUGGGUAGCAUCCAACAGCCAGGCACUUUUGGAAAACUUUGUGUGGAGUUUCAGUGAAUGAGAUGACAACCACUCACCAACCACUGAAGGAAGGAAAUGCACAAACGGCUCAAGCAUCAGCCAGGGAUGGGAGCAUCUGAUCGCACAUCAGCGCCCCCUGGUAGUCAAUGCUCGCCCCCCCCCCCAUGUUCGUCUGCUGAGAUGCUUGCAGAGUGUCCUCCUCCAGCUCAUGUCUGUGUGAGCCUGACUUUCUAUACUGCGAUGCGAUGAGAAGCGGUGGCUGACAUCUCACGCUUCAGAGGAGAGCUCAUGCUCUUGUGUGCUCUCUCCCAAAUUGACAGCGGGGGUUUCCAUCGGACCUUCCAAACCGGAGAGGUACAGGGAGGAAGCAUGAAAAACAGAACAGCAGGAAAUGUCAAAGUAUGAGGUCACGUACCAGAUGCAUAGUACCAUAUGCAUAUGCUUACAGCGAAACAUUUCCUUUAAUUGCACAUUUGCUGCUUGCUGCUCAGAUCUCUACAAACAGCUGGCUGGCAGGAUGUAGGGUUGCAGGGAAUGCAGAGAAGAGCAGGUAUCAGGCUCUCAGACGUCUGCACCGAACAUAAAAAGGCUCCAGAAUAAAUGAAUCUUGUGUUGUUUAUGCGGCACAAAUCUGUUUCUGUGCACUGCUGUGUAAUAUAGUCUGUUAGAAAUAUUGUAAAUUUGAAUAAAUGUAAUUGCCUUUAUGAAAGCCGGUUCAUAAACACUAAUAUAAGAUGCAGGCAUGCGUGGGGGAAAAUAAUCAUUAAAAUGGAUUGCGUCAGAAAUCCAUGCGCGUACAUGCUAGUCUAUAAAGUAGCCGCUUUCCUAUUAUUCCUGAUGCCAUCCCCUCACAGCCUGUUCAACAAUCACUGGGAAGGGAGCAUUUCUGGGGUAACACAUUUGUGGCUGUGUAACCAGAAAAUGUUUACAGAAUUAAACAGUCCCCAUGGUAUUAGGCACCUUCUAACCCCCUCACCCCCAACACACACACACACACACAGGAUGCCUGCCAAUGGAAUAGUACAACUGCAUUUGUCCACCGCCCCAAAGCAGACCACAGUAUAUCUGGUUUCUGAAUAUCAGCCUGUGCUUUGUCGGACGGAGUGCUUUUCUGCAGAAUUGCAGGCAGGCUGCGCGAUGUUGCGUGAGAUUCCGGGAGCGCAGCAGGACGCUGGACCGAAACAGACUCGCCGAAAAUAAGCCAGGACGCGUG